RNAcentral lists this ribosomal RNA (225 nucleotides) under Ilyonectria destructans. RNAcentral describes it as "partial large subunit ribosomal RNA". The record is from RNAcentral. Lineage: Eukaryota; Fungi; Ascomycota; Sordariomycetes; Hypocreales; Nectriaceae.
CGUGAAAUUGUUGAAAGGGAAGCGCUCAUGACCAGACUUGGGCUUGGGUGAUCAUCCAGGGUUCUCCCUGGUGCACUCUGCCAGACCAGGCCAGCAUCAGUUCGCUGUGGGGGAUAAAGGCUUUGGGAAUGUGGAUCCUCCGGGAGUGUUAUAGCACAUUGUGUAAUACCCUGUGGUGGACUGAGGUUCGCGCAUCUGCAAGGAUGCUGGCGUAAUGGUCAUCAG